GACCUAAUAGCGAAAUUGGUAUCGCAUCCGCUACCGUUUAAAGGAAAAUGUUCUAGUUUCUGUGGAUGUCCCUCGUUCGAAUCGAGGUUAGGUCU
Molecule: non-coding RNA, 95 nt
Organism: Mycena rebaudengoi
Lineage: Eukaryota; Fungi; Basidiomycota; Agaricomycetes; Agaricales; Mycenaceae
Source: the annotation of a GenBank genome assembly